UCUGCACACGAGUCAUGGUACAGGACACUGCAUGUAUUUCCUAUGCCUUUUUGUUGCUAUAAAUUUGUAUUUUGUUUGUAUAUGAACACUUUCUUAGCUUUUUCUGUAUUUUCAUUUAUUUAGAAACUAUAAUUAGAGCUUCAUAGUAUCUGAUGGUAAAUAUAGAAUAGAUAUAAAUGAUUUUGUUUUGGUUUAUGUGAAAACCGAACUUUUUAAAGGCGCCAUCUCAAGCUACACCUGUCUAACAAUGCUUUGGUAAGUGUGUUUGUUUAUAUAUUUAAAAACUUUAAAAAUUAUAUUACUUUAAUUGUCAGUGCGUUUCUUUAUUAAAACUCUUAAAACUGUGUUUAUUUUUACAACCUUUUCUAAAUUAGAGGAACUGAGAAGAUUUUGGUCAUGCUUUUAGCAAAGAACUCUCAAAGAAAAAGUGCCUUCCAAUUUUUUAAACAAAACUUAUUAACCACUUCAUUUCUUAAACCACUAGGCUAUAGACAGGUAACAGUUUUGUGGUUAGAAGUUUAAUCUGUAUAUCUGACUGUGAAUUUACUAAUUUUUUUUCUCAUCUUCCACUAAGAUUUUUCUCUUGCAGGAGAAUUUUUCAUUGAGAUGAUUGAAAUUGCUGCAGUGAGAAUGGAAAUUACUUGGGCUCCUUUCCUUUUAAAAGCUGCAUGCAAGAACUGUGUGGUUCAGCCUGUUGUGGUGCUGGACCAGGGAAGAUGUUUGUGGGCUGUACAAGAAGAAACCUCAUGUUGCUAUAGGUGCUGCAGAAAUCAGUAAAAAAUUCUGUAGGCAGUGGAACAAAUGCCUGCAAGUAGAGAAAACCAUGUCUUCAUGGUUAUGCCAAGUGAGAAUUCCGAAGAAUUGGAUGUGAUGUUUAAUUUUCUGCCUUUGUUCUCAUGUGAUGCUGGACAAGUAACCAGGCUGUUGUUUCCGUAGUGCAUAUAUUGUGCUUUACUUUGGAGGUGUCUGAUUUAAGACUCAUGUCUGGAAGAAGCACUUGUGGUUCACAUUAG
This is a long non-coding RNA of Oenanthe melanoleuca, 1013 nucleotides long. RefSeq lists it as uncharacterized. The transcript has 2 exons. Lineage: Eukaryota; Metazoa; Chordata; Aves; Passeriformes; Muscicapidae. The record is from RefSeq and is a predicted model, not a curated record.